RNAcentral lists this ribosomal RNA (559 nucleotides) under uncultured bacterium. Its description in RNAcentral is "bacterial SSU rRNA". It matches the Rfam family "Bacterial small subunit ribosomal RNA", at positions 119 to 674 of the family's 1533-position model. The record is from RNAcentral.
CGGAACGUGCCCAAUCGUGGGGGAUAACGCAGCGAAAGCUGUGCUAAUACCGCAUACGAUCUACGGAUGAAAGCAGGGGACCGCAGGGCCUUGCGCGAAUGGAGCGGCCGAUGGCAGAUUAGGUAGUUGGUGAGGUAAAGGCUCACCAAGCCUUCGAUCUGUAGCUGGUCUGAGAGGACGACCAGCCACACUGGGACUGAGACACGGCCCAGACUCCUACGGGAGGCAGCAGUGGGGAAUUUUGGACAAUGGGCGAAAGCCUGAUCCAGCAAUGCCGCGUGCAGGAUGAAGGCCUUCGGGUUGUAAACUGCUUUUGUACGGAACGAAACGGUCUUUUCUAAUAAAGAAGGCUAAUGACGGUACCGUAAGAAUAAGCACCGGCUAACUACGUGCCAGCAGCCGCGGUAAUACGUAGGGUGCGAGCGUUAAUCGGAAUUACUGGGCGUAAAGCGUGCGCAGGCGGUUAUGUAAGACAGUUGUGAAAUCCCCGGGCUCAACCUGGGAAUUGCAUCUGUGACUGCAUAGCUAGAGUACGGUAGAGGGGGAUGGAAUUCCGCGU